CCGACGUGGACAGCAGCAGUUCUGUCUGUCCUGGUGGCGUAUGGGAGCGUCAGCUCCGGCCGGGACGUACAUUCCCGUUCCACGCCGUCGGACAGCAAGCUGGUCCCCGGCCCUGGGCCGGGAGGACCAGCGUCCUGCAUAUUCCUACAACUUCCCAGAGUCCUCCGGGGCCGUGACUGGGGAGGAAAACCAUGCAGGACACAGAU
Cololabis saira (Pacific saury) is the source of this 206-nucleotide small nucleolar RNA. RefSeq annotates it as small nucleolar RNA SNORA73 family. The transcript has a single exon. The record is from RefSeq and is a predicted model, not a curated record. Lineage: Eukaryota; Metazoa; Chordata; Actinopteri; Beloniformes; Belonidae.